Oncorhynchus mykiss (rainbow trout) is the source of this 581-nucleotide non-coding RNA. The record is from RefSeq and is a predicted model, not a curated record. NCBI's taxonomy places the organism in Eukaryota, Metazoa, Chordata, Actinopteri, Salmoniformes, Salmonidae.
UCAUAUUCAAUUUAUUAUUUGACUCAUUGCUUUAUUAUAUAUAUUUUUAUUUUUUGCGUAGCUGAGAACCUCAGACAAGGUUAUGUAUUUACAUGCUCAUGCUUUAACAAAAGAUAAUGUAUUAUUUUUUGUUUCUAUACCGAACUAGAUAUUUUACUCUUAUGAAAUACUAGAGAUGUUUGGUGUAGGUGAUUAGGAAGUUUUAUUUUUUAAUUAUUUUUUAUUUUUUUAUUUAAAAAUAUUUUUUUUUGAUAAUCGACUGUUGAUAUUAUGUUCCAUAUGUCCUUUUUAAGUUUUUGGUGCUUAUUAAAGCACCAGAGGGGGGUUAUGUGGGAGAAAUUAGGUACAUAUAUGGAUAAAUAUAUUGUCCUAUAUAAUGGCAUUUGCCAUUCUGGUAAGGUACAUUGUCUAUUGUAUAGGACAGGAAGCCAGAGUGGGGCCAUGGGAGAGGGCAACACCUAGGGCAGCUGGACAUACAAAGGUCAGAGGUUAUCUAAGGAGGGGGUCAGCCAAAGGACCAAUUGAUGGAUUACAGACAUCAAUCACAUCACAGGAGACAAGUCUGUUUGAUCUUAGACAAC